ACAAAGAAGACAUUUCCCGAAAACAAUGUGCUCAUGAGAAGUUAUUAAAAUAACGGAGAUUGAAUCAUAUAAAGGAGCUACUGGCUAAAACAACGAACAUGUCGAUGAAGGCGAUUUAAUCCUGGAGAAAUCCUCCUUCAAGAAACAGGGGAGGAACUUCAGCGAGAAGAGAGAAGAAUAUAGACGUGAAAGCUUCCGGACAGACCGAGACAGAUUGAGAUGAAUUUAUUGGAGGGAGGCAGCAGACAAGAGCUCAGAAAAGACUCGAGUCAGCCUGAUGAUUGAAUAUUUCGAACAAAUGCCCCCGGUUUGACCCUUUGACCCCUGACUGCAGUCAAGCACACAGUCCAGUCUGGGGAUAGAGACGGACAGGUGACUGAUGGAGGCUUCUUGGUCAAACAUUAUUAUCAUGUGUGUAAGAUGUCUUUUAUUCUUGUGAUUUUAAGAUCAACUUUAAGCCUGCGGUCACACGAUCCUUCAGAAAUCAGAAAAAGUGGACGUUUAAAAUAAAAGUAGGGAAAAAAAGAAAAGCAUUUCUCUAAAAUAAAGGUAUUUUGUAACAUUAUACAUGUCUUUAUCAUCACUCGAUCAAUAUAAAGCGUCCUUGCUAAAUAAAAGUAGUAAUUUCU
Molecule: long non-coding RNA, 629 nt
Organism: Puntigrus tetrazona (Sumatra barb)
Lineage: Eukaryota; Metazoa; Chordata; Actinopteri; Cypriniformes; Cyprinidae
Exons: 3
Source: RefSeq, a predicted model, not a curated record